Molecule: transfer RNA, 71 nt
Filed under: Stegodyphus mimosarum
Lineage: Eukaryota; Metazoa; Arthropoda; Arachnida; Araneae; Eresidae
Rfam family: tRNA
About the family: Transfer RNA (tRNA) molecules are approximately 80 nucleotides in length.
Source: Rfam by way of RNAcentral
GUCUUUGUGGUGUAACGGCAGCACAUUCGACGCGUAUUCGAGAGGUCCAGGUUCGAGUCCCGUUGAGGACA